This 620-nucleotide ribosomal RNA is filed under the name Salmonella enterica. RNAcentral describes it as "partial 23S ribosomal RNA". It matches the Rfam family "Bacterial large subunit ribosomal RNA", at positions 2174 to 2793 of the family's 2925-position model. Lineage: Bacteria; Pseudomonadati; Pseudomonadota; Gammaproteobacteria; Enterobacterales; Enterobacteriaceae. The record is from RNAcentral.
GUCUGCGUGGAGCCGACCUUGAAAUACCACCCUUUAAUGUUUGAUGUUCUAACGUGGACCCGUAAUCCGGGUUGCGGACAGUGUCUGGUGGGUAGUUUGACUGGGGCGGUCUCCUCCUAAAGAGUAACGGAGGAGCACGAAGGUUGGCUAAUCCUGGUCGGACAUCAGGAGGUUAGUGCAAUGGCAUAAGCCAGCUUGACUGCGAGCGUGACGGCGCGAGCAGGUGCGAAAGCAGGUCAUAGUGAUCCGGUGGUUCUGAAUGGAAGGGCCAUCGCUCAACGGAUAAAAGGUACUCCGGGGAUAACAGGCUGAUACCGCCCAAGAGUUCAUAUCGACGGCGGUGUUUGGCACCUCGAUGUCGGCUCAUCACAUCCUGGGGCUGAAGUAGGUCCCAAGGGUAUGGCUGUUCGCCAUUUAAAGUGGUACGCGAGCUGGGUUUAGAACGUCGUGAGACAGUUCGGUCCCUAUCUGCCGUGGGCGCUGGAGAACUGAGGGGGGCUGCUCCUAGUACGAGAGGACCGGAGUGGACGCAUCACUGGUGUUCGGGUUGUCAUGCCAAUGGCACUGCCCGGUAGCUAAAUGCGGAAGAGAUAAGUGCUGAAAGCAUCUAAGCACGAAAC